AGAGUUUGAUUAUGGCUCAGGAUGAACGCUAGCGGCAGGCUUAACACAUGCAAGUCGAGGGGCAGCGGGGAGGAAGCUUGCUUUCUCCGCCGGCGACCGGCGCACGGGUGAGUAACACGUAUGCAACCUGCCCCUGUCAGGGGGACAACCCGCCGAAAGGCGGGCUAAACCCGCGUACAUGCCACCGGGGCAUCCCGGAGGCAGGAAAGGCUUCGGCCGGACAGGGAUGGGCAUGCGGCGCAUUAGGCAGUAGGCGGGGUAACGGCCCACCUAACCGACGAUGCGUAGGGGUUCUGAGAGGAAGGUCCCCCACACUGGUACUGAGACACGGACCAGACUCCUACGGGAGGCAGCAGUGAGGAAUAUUGGUCAAUGGUCGGGAGACUGAACCAGCCAAGCCGCGUGAGGGAGGAAGGUACAGAGUAUCGUAAACCUCUUUUGUCAGGGAACAAAGGCGGGGACGUGUCCCCGGAUGAGUGUACCUGAAGAAAAAGCAUCGGCUAACUCCGUGCCAGCAGCCGCGGUAAUACGGAGGAUGCGAGCGUUAUCCGGAUUUAUUGGGUUUAAAGGGUGCGCAGGCGGUCUGUUAAGUCAGCGGUCAAAGCCCGGGGCUCAACCCCGGCCCGCCGUUGAAACUGGCAGUCUC
RNAcentral lists this ribosomal RNA (646 nucleotides) under uncultured bacterium. Its description in RNAcentral is "bacterial SSU rRNA". It matches the Rfam family "Bacterial small subunit ribosomal RNA", at positions 8 to 643 of the family's 1533-position model. The record is from RNAcentral.